AGCGAACGUUUGCGGCGGGCCUAACACAUGCAAGUCGAACGGGGGGGCAACCACCAGUGGCGCACGGGGGCGUAACACGUAGGGAAUCAACCCCUAGGUUCGGGACAACGCUUCGAAAGG
Molecule: ribosomal RNA, 120 nt
Filed under: uncultured bacterium
Lineage: Bacteria
Description: partial 16S ribosomal RNA
Rfam family: Bacterial small subunit ribosomal RNA
Source: RNAcentral